RNAcentral lists this ribosomal RNA (497 nucleotides) under uncultured bacterium. RNAcentral describes it as "partial 16S ribosomal RNA". It matches the Rfam family "Bacterial small subunit ribosomal RNA", at positions 28 to 507 of the family's 1533-position model. The record is from RNAcentral.
GACGAACGCUGGCGGCGUGCCUAAUACAUGCAAGUAGAACGCUGAAGAGAGGAGCUUGCUCUUCUUGGAUGAGUUGCGAACGGGUGAGUAACGCGUAGGUAACCUGCCUUGUAGCGGGGGAUAACUAUUGGAAACGAUAGCUAAUACCGCAUAACAAUGGAUGACACAUGUCAUUUAUUUGAAAGGGGCAAUUGCUCCACUACAAGAUGGACCUGCGUUGUAUUAGCUAGUAGGUGAGGUAAUGGCUCACCUAGGCGACGAUACAUAGCCGACCUGAGAGGGUGAUCGGCCACACUGGGACUGAGACACGGCCCAGACUCCUACGGGAGGCAGCAGUAGGGAAUCUUCGGCAAUGGGGGCAACCCUGACCGAGCAACGCCGCGGGAGUGAAGAAGGUUUUCGGAUCGUAAAGCUCUGUUGUAAGUCAAGAACGGGUGUGGGAGUGGAAAGUUCACACUGUGACGGUAGCUUACCAGGAAGGGACGGCUAACUACGUG